Molecule: long non-coding RNA, 478 nt
Filed under: Pan troglodytes (chimpanzee)
Lineage: Eukaryota; Metazoa; Chordata; Mammalia; Primates; Hominidae
Description: long non-coding RNA NONPTRT008320
Source: RNAcentral
CCCAGUGUGCGAGGGAGGCCGGGAGGGGUCCCUGGGCGGGGAGUUGCUGGGCAUCUGUUGUGUGUGUGCGUCUGUCUGUCUGUUCGGGUCUGUUUUAGGCUGUGUCUGCCUGUCUCUCUGUCUGGGUCUCUUUCAGGCUGCGUCGGUCUGUCUGGGUCUGUUUCAGGGCGUGUCUGUCUGUCUGUCUGGGUCUGUUUCAGGCUGUGUCUGUCUGUCUGUCUGUCUGGGUCUGUUUCAGGCUGUGUCUGUCUGUCUGUCCGGGUCUGUUUCAGGCUGUGUCUGUCUGUCUGUCUGGGUCUGUUUCAGGCUGUGUCUGUCUGUCCGGGUCUGUUUCAGGCUGUGUCUGUCUGUCUGUCUGUCUGGGUCUGUUUCAGUCUGUCUGUCCGGGUCUGUUUCAGGCUGUGUCUGGGUCUGUUUCAGGCUGUCUGUCUGUCUGGGUCUGUUUCAGGCUGUGUCUGUUUGUCUGGGUCUGUUUCAG